RNAcentral lists this ribosomal RNA (369 nucleotides) under uncultured Psychrobacter sp. RNAcentral's name for it is "bacterial SSU rRNA". It matches the Rfam family "Bacterial small subunit ribosomal RNA", at positions 449 to 813 of the family's 1533-position model. Lineage: Bacteria; Pseudomonadati; Pseudomonadota; Gammaproteobacteria; Moraxellales; Moraxellaceae. The record is from RNAcentral.
CUCUUCGGUUAAUACCCGGAGACGAUGACAUUAGCUGCAGAAUAAGCACCGGCUAACUCUGUGCCAGCAGCCGCGGUAAUACAGAGGGUGCAAGCGUUAAUCGGAAUUACUGGGCGUAAAGCGAGCGUAGGUGGCUUGAUAAGUCAGAUGUGAAAUCCCCGGGCUCAACCUGGGAACUGCAUCUGAAACUGUUAGGCUAGAGUAGGUGAGAGGGAGGUAGAAUUUCAGGUGUAGCGGUGAAAUGCGUAGAGAUCUGAAGGAAUACCGAUGGCGAAGGCAGCCUCCUGGCAUCAUACUGACACUGAGGCUCGAAAGCGUGGGUAGCAAACAGGAUUAGAUACCCUGGUAGUCCACGCCGUAAACGAUGUC